Molecule: ribosomal RNA, 510 nt
Filed under: Sporisorium sp. DMKU-SP234
Lineage: Eukaryota; Fungi; Basidiomycota; Ustilaginomycetes; Ustilaginales; Ustilaginaceae
Description: LSU rRNA
Rfam family: Eukaryotic large subunit ribosomal RNA
Source: RNAcentral
AAUCUCAAGAAGUGUUUUCCGCUUCGGACCAUGCCUAAGUCCCUUGGAAAAGGGCAUCAUAGAGGGUGAUAAUCCCGUACAUGGCAUGGAGCGCCCGAGGCUUUGUGAUACGCUUUCUAAGAGUCGAGUUGUUUGGGAAUGCAGCUCAAAAUGGGUGGUAAUUGCCAUCUAAGGCUAAAUAUUGGGGAGAGACCGAUAGCGAACAAGUACAGUGAUGGAAAGAUGAAAAGAACUUUGAAAAGAGAGUUAAACAGUACGUGAAAUUGCCAAAAGGGAAGGGUAGGAGGUCAGAGAUGCGUCUUGGGAUUCAGCCUUGCUUUUGCUUGGUGAUUUUCCCAAGUUGCAGGCCAACGUCGGUUUUGGGCACUGGAGAAGGGUGGAAGGAACGUGGCACCUCUCGGGGUGUGUUAUAGCCUUCUACUGGAUACAGCGACCGAGACCGAGGACAGCAGCGUACUCGCAAGAGCGGGCCUUCGGGCACCUUUACGCUUAGGGCGUUGGCAUAAUGGC